This 752-nucleotide transfer RNA is filed under the name uncultured cyanobacterium. RNAcentral's name for it is "partial 16S-23S intergenic spacer". The stretch from base 251 to 323 matches the Rfam family "tRNA". Lineage: Bacteria; Bacillati; Cyanobacteriota. The record is from RNAcentral.
AGACAAACCAGAUUGUGAUGUCUAAAUCAUUUAUCUUAGGCCAUAAUCCUGUCACUUAGGUCGAUCGGUACCUCAGUUUGAUGAUAAGAGGCUAAGCAAUUGGCCCAUUUAAUUAUUGAAUUCAGUUCCUAAACUUUGUCUAGGUCACACCCAGCAAGGGUACUCCUGGGCCAUUAGCUCAGGUGGUUAGAGCGCACCCCUGAUAAGGGUGAGGUCCCUGGUUCAAGUCCAGGAUGGCCCAUUCGGUGUUGGGGGUAUAGCUCAGUUGGUAGAGCGCCUGCUUUGCAAGCAGGAUGUCAGCGGUUCGAGUCCGCUUACCUCCACUGAUCCAUCUCCUCAUAACGAAUUUGAAGGAGCUUUUGCUCGAUGUGAUUUAGAUUUGUUCUAGUUGAAUGAACCUAGCUUCUUGUCAAUAAGACCAAUUAUGUUUUUUUGGUUAAUUGAUAGGACGCUGGGCUCACUGCAAGAAAUAUUGCAGUGUUCUUCAGUAGAACCUUGACAACUGCAUAGGUGAGUCUGGAAAAAAUAAAGCAUCUCAUGGAUGCAUUAUUUGAUUCAUAAUCAAAUUCUAAUUAAUUAGAAUUUGGGCGUGAAUUCAAUGAUAAUGUUUAAUUCUUGAGCAAGAGCCGAGACUCUAUAUUAUCUUUCAUUGAAUUAGGUUUUAAUGAAAGUCAGAUAUUUAAUUUAUCACUAUAUAUUGGUGAUUUAAUUAAAUAGAAAGUGUUUUAAUCGCUGAUUUUAUAGAGAUUAAU